This 440-nucleotide ribosomal RNA is filed under the name uncultured bacterium. Its description in RNAcentral is "partial 16S ribosomal RNA". It matches the Rfam family "Bacterial small subunit ribosomal RNA", at positions 338 to 795 of the family's 1533-position model. The record is from RNAcentral.
CCUACGGGAUGCUGCAGUGGGGAAUAUUGGGCAAUGGGGGCAACCCUGAUCCAGCAACGCCGCGUGAAGGAAGAAGGAUUUCGGUUUGUAAACUUCUUUUCUGAGGGAAGAAAAUAACGGUACCUGACUAAGAAGCACCGGCUAACUACGUGCCAGCAGCCGCGGUAAUACGGAGGGGGCAAGCGUUAUCCGGAUUUACUGGGUGUAAAGGGGGCGUAGGCGGGGAAGCAAGUCUGAUGUGAAAUCUCAGGGCUCAACCAUGGGACUGCAUUGGAAACUGUUUUUCUUGAGUACAGGAGAGGUAAGCGGAAUUCCUAGUGUAGCGGUGAAAUGCGUAGAUAUUAGGAGGAACACCAGUGGCGAAGGCGGCUUGCUGGACCGUAACUGACGCUGAGGCGCGAAAGCGUGGGGAGCAAACAGGAUUAGAUACCCUAGUAGUC